GACCUGAGUCAAAAUCAGGAGUCAGACAUUCCACCAGCCGGGCCGCCCAGGGCCCCAACUCCGUCCCAGUUUGAAACUGCAGGUCCUGUGCCCAGGAAGGCCCCUCAGGCCCCGCAGCCUCCUCAUCGCUGCCCCUGCCACCCAUCGCUGCUCCCCAGCACCCUGCACUGGAGAACCUCACCCCUGCCACCCAUCGCUGCUCCCCAGCACCCUGCACUGGAGAACCUCACCCCUGCCACCCAUCGCUGCUCCCCAGCACCCUGCACUGGAGAACCUCACCCCUGCCACCCAUCGCUGCUCCCUGUACCCUGCACUGGAGAACCUCACCCCUGCUUCUGUCGGGUGGCUGACACUCUCUGCCACGGUCUGUAACCAUUUCUUGCCCCGCCCACAUUCCGGGGCAGACACCAGCCCCCAGCUCCCCAGGGUCCUUGGCCAGAUGAGAAAAAUGAAGAGUCUGAACUCUUUGCUAACCUGGACUCACUGCCCGUCUUUGGAGACAGCUUCCUGCUGUGGCGAACAUCCUUCCUUCUCCGGAACAGCGGGAGGACUCUUAGACUUGGAGACUGUGAAGGUGGUGCAGAACGUUCCAAGGACUCACAUGCACUUCCUGUAUCAUUAACGCCUUCCGUGGGGUAUUGGCCACAGGUUGAGGCAUAAAACCCUU
Molecule: long non-coding RNA, 667 nt
Organism: Suricata suricatta (meerkat)
Lineage: Eukaryota; Metazoa; Chordata; Mammalia; Carnivora; Herpestidae
Exons: 3
Source: RefSeq, a predicted model, not a curated record